GGGGGGGGGCAGCCUCCCCAUAGACCCCUCUCCUCAACCCUGAUGUCCCAGGAGGACAUGCUCUCGGCGGGAUUAAAGAUAAACAGCGACUCGGCUUCCCCGAGAGGAUACCAUAAACACAAGCCCUGCGGUGACGCACCACAAACGCAUCGGCAGGCCACCAUACGACACCUAUCAAUUUCGACUGUUCUGUUGUUGUUGUCCCUGUGACGGGGUGAUACCAGGAAACCAAGAGGAGAAUUGUGGAUAAUGGGGAGGGGUUUCCUCUCUAUGCAUGUCAACACCCACCACCACCUUCCAACGCAAACAAACACACACACACACACACACACACACACACACACACACACACACACACACACACACACACACACACACACACACACACACACACACACACACACACACACACACACCCCUUUUGGAAAACAAACACAACGUAAACAGACCAGAUAAUUAGAGCUCAAUUUCAGCCAAAUGAUUGUCCAAGCAUUUCUCCACAUGGCUAAGCUAAAUAACACAUUUAGAUUGAUGCUUUGAUGCUCCAUUUCAGGAUAAUGCCAGAUGGGUUGGUCCAUUUUUUACUUGGGAUUUUUGUGCAAAAUGAUCAUAUCUGACUAAUAACGGAGGCCUAAAGGAAUAAAAUGGGCCGUUCUGGGACUCUCAGGAAAACAUUGGGUUGGUGUGUUAGAAAUGCCAGAUUCUGGUCCCAGUCCACCCCUGCUCCUAAUAUUGUAUCUCUCCAACCCUAGCUCCACCCCUGCUCCUAAUAUUGUAUCUCUCCAUCCCUAGCUCCACCCCUGCUCCUAAUAUGGUAUCUUUUCAACCCUAGCUCCACCCCUGCUCCUAAUAUUGUAUCUCUCCAUCCCUAGCUCCACCCCUGCUCCUAAUAUUGUAUCUAUCCAACCCUAGCUCCACCCCUGCUCCUAAUAUGGUAUCUCCCCAUCCCUAGCUCCACCCCUGCUCCUAAUAUUGUAUCUAUCCAACCCUAGCUCCACCCCUGCUCCUAAUAUGGUAUCUCCCCAUCCCUAGCUCCACCCCUGCUCCUAAUAUGGUAUCUAUCCAUCCCUAGCUCCACCCCUUCUCUUAAUACUGUAUCUCUCCAUCCCUAGCUCCACCCCUUCUCUUAAUACUGUAUCUAUCCAUCCCUAGCUCCACCCCUGCUCCUAAUAUGGUAUCGCUCCAACCCUAGCUCCACCCCUGCUCCCAAUAUUGUAUCUCUCUACCCCUAGCUCCACCCCUGCUCCUAAUAUGGUAUCUAUCCAUCCCUAGCCCCACCCCUGCUCCUAAUAUUGUAUCUCUCCACCCCUAGCCCCACCCCUGCUCCUAAUAUUGUAUCUCUCCACCCCUAGCCCCACCCCUGCUCCUAAUAUUGUAUCUCUCCAUCCCUAGCUCCACCCCUGCUCCUAAUAUUGUAUCUCUCCAUCCCUAGCCCCACCCCUGCUCCUAAUAUUGUAUCUCUCCAUCCCUAGCCCCACCCCUGCUCCUAAUAUGGUAUCUAUCCAUCCCUAGCUCCACCCCUGAUCCUACUACUGUAUCUCUCCAUCCCUAGCUCCACCCCUGCUCCUAAUAUUGUAUCUCUCCAUCCCUAGCCCCACCCCUGCUCCUAAUAUGUUAUCUAUCCAUCCCUAGCUCCACCCCUGCUCCUAAUAUUGUAUCUCUCCAACCCUAGCUCCACCCCUAGCUCCACCCCUGCUCCUAAUAUAGUAUCUAUCCACCCCUAGCUCCACCCCUGUUUCAGGAAGACUCUUAGGCCAGACAUGUCCAAUUUGUAAGUCGCUCUGGAUAAGAGCGUCUGCUAAAUGACAUAAAUGUAAAUGUAAAUGUUAUAGACGUGUUUAGAGAAUCCCUAAAUAGAAGAUCAGUGAUAGAUGAGAAAUGAGAUCUAAUGACGCAUUUAUUUACAGUACGGUUCCCAGCUCUGUUAACUGACACACACACACACACACACACACACACACACACACACACACACACACACACACACACACACACACACACACACACACACACACAGACAAAAUAGAGAGAUUCCAUGAGCCUUGCAUAAGUAUCUUUCGAGGGGAGUUGUGAUCGAGGUGUGAAGACAGAACGGCACAUUCUUGAGUUCAUCUUUAUGAAUUAGACCCUGCCAAACGAUAAGGGCUUGAAUCGCUUUGAUGCGAUGCACCAAAUGAUCUUGCUAAUGAUUGUGUGUGUGUGUGUGUGUGUGUGUGUUCUUUGAGUUCUUAUCUUAACAUAUUUAAUCCCAUCGGUCACAAUAGUGACCGUAAAAAACGUUUUCAGUUAUAAGGCUCUAAAAAUGUUACUGAAUGAUCUAUCAAUGUAUUUCCAGCAAAUAUUGAAAUAAUAAAGGGUCUCAAUGAAAGAUGUGCAGUGUCACAUGUUUAGUGUGAAUUGUCACAUGACCAGAGCUGUUUACUUCCUGGUUGCACCAUGAGAAGAGGAUGACUGCAUCAAAGCUCCCAAACAAAAGUUUCACUUUGAGUCAAGAUCUGGACAUGUUUGAUCUAGGUGACUGCCCAGACAAGGCAUGCAACAUUGCAGUUAUCCCUCAAAAUGAGAAAGAUGCUGUCCUCAGUGAUUGUGAUAGCGAUGGGUCAGAUAUGGAGUAUGGACCGGCCAUUUGCCAGCCAGGCUGUUGAAUGCAUAUCCUGAACAUAUGCAAACAGAUCAUGACAGGAACAACGUUAUCAGUGAUGAUGACCUACCCCUCAUCCCCCCCAUCCACAACCUCCCCCACCCCCCUCCAUUGUUGAUAAUGAAGAGCCAAGGGCCUCUACCCGCCAGAGGGUCCAGUCAGAAGAGCCAAGGGCCUCUACAAGCCAUAGGGGUCAGCCAGAAGAGCCAAGGGAAAAGCUGCAGGUGGUCAAAAAUAAAGAUUGAGUGUUCAAACAAUCGAAGAGGCCUGCCACUGAUGUGAUUCCAAAACACAUAGUAUACAACCCAAAUAUGCAAAAGUUUGGCACGAAACCACUGAGCCACGGAAGGAGAUCUUUACUGACUGCUACUGUUGAAGAUCAGGCAAGAUAUGACAAAACUUCUCACUGGCCAAUCAAGACGAUGCACCGGUUCCAGAGAAGUCGUCAUUGUGACAAACGUACUACCUAUGCAUGUGAGAAAUGCAAAACGCCACUGCACAUUGAGUGCUUCAAGAUAUACCAUGGACAGUAGAAAACGAGAUAAGAUCGAAUGAAAAAGGGCUGAAAAAGACAACAAAAGAAAAAUUGAAAAGUCGAUAAAGGGUGAGGAGAAGCAGUACAACGGACUCUAGGAAGAAAAGAAAAGUCGACGAAAAAGACAAUCAAAAUGACUGAAAUGUUUUUGGAAAAGGUCAAUUGAUUCAAGACAUACUGUAUGACAGUAGGAAUAGUAGGAAAAUAGUGAUGCACAAACUAAUUUUGCUCUUGGUUCUGAAGCCUAACUCUAUGAUAUACUGUAUAUAUAUAUAAGCACUCAUUGUGCAGUGGUGCUUUUUAAAUAUAUAUAUAUAUACAUAUAAUUGUAUUUUGUUCAGUGUAGGCCUCUACUUGAAUGCAUAUUCUACAGGCUACCUCUAUCCUAAAUGUUACCUUUAUGUUCAGUGGGAAUGAAUCACACGACUGCUAUACAUUUGUUAGUGAAUGUUGCUCUAAAAUGUCACAAUGACAAUGUUACAAUGAAUAUUGCACUAAAGUACAAGUUCAAAUGUUACAAUAAAGUUACAAUAUUAAUGUUUCAAUACAUGUUACAAUAAAGUAACAAUGUUGAAAUACA
Molecule: long non-coding RNA, 3756 nt
Organism: Salvelinus fontinalis (brook trout)
Lineage: Eukaryota; Metazoa; Chordata; Actinopteri; Salmoniformes; Salmonidae
Exons: 2
Source: RefSeq, a predicted model, not a curated record